This is a non-coding RNA of Podarcis lilfordi (Lilford's wall lizard), 74 nucleotides long. Lineage: Eukaryota; Metazoa; Chordata; Lepidosauria; Squamata; Lacertidae. The record is from the annotation of a GenBank genome assembly.
GGCCAUAGCUAACUGGGUUGAGCAUCUGCCUUGCAAGCAGAAGGCCCUGGGUUCAAUUCCUGCCGACAUCACCA